This 272-nucleotide long non-coding RNA is filed under the name Olea europaea (common olive). RNAcentral describes it as "long non-coding RNA (OEUR_LNC014044)". Lineage: Eukaryota; Viridiplantae; Streptophyta; Magnoliopsida; Lamiales; Oleaceae. The record is from RNAcentral.
CUAAAAUUACCCUGCAAGAGGAAGUUUGCAUAGCCAUUUUUGAUCGAGGGAGACUGAACUACAGUGUAUGUGGGAGUUAAGAAUUUAGAGAAGAGGGUGGGGUGGGGAGUCGUCAUUCAUCUUCAUUCGUGGGAGUUUUUUUUUGUUUUUUUAUUUUCAUUGACAAAAAAUUGAAAGGGAUUCAAAAAAAUUAUCUGUUUGUCGAUAAAAUGAGGCAGUACCGUUGUCCAGCGUUUCAGUCCCGUUUUCGAACUGAAAUAGCAAUUUUAUAG